UACAGAGGUCUCAAGCGUUGUUCGGAUUCAUUGGGCGUAAAGGGUGCGUAGGCGGCGCGGUAAGUCGGGUGUGAAAUCUCGGGGCUUAACUCCGAAACUGCAUUCGAUACUGCCGUGCUUGAGGACUGGAGAGGAGACUGGAAUUUACGGUGUAGCGGUGAAAUGCGUAGAUAUCGUAAGGAAGACCAGUGGUGAAGGCGGGUCUCUGGACAGUUCCUGACGCUGAGGCACGAAGGCCAGGGGAGCAAACGGG
Molecule: ribosomal RNA, 253 nt
Filed under: uncultured bacterium
Lineage: Bacteria
Description: partial 16S ribosomal RNA
Rfam family: Bacterial small subunit ribosomal RNA
Source: RNAcentral